UUCCUACGGGGCGCAGCAGUGAGGAAUAUUGGUCAAUGGCCGAGAGGCUGAACCAGCCAAGUCGCGUGAGGGAAGAAUGUCCUAUGGAUUGUAAACCUCUUUUGUCAGGGAGCAAAGUCACCCACGUGUGGGUGUUGGAGAGUACCUGAAGAAAAAGCAUCGGCUAACUCCGUGCCAGCAGCCGCGGUAAUACGGAGGAUGCGAGCGUUAUCCGGAUUUAUUGGGUUUAAAGGGUGCGUAGGCGGGUUAUCAAGUCAGCGGUAAAAGCCAGGGGCUCAACCCCGGC
This 286-nucleotide ribosomal RNA is filed under the name uncultured bacterium. RNAcentral's name for it is "partial 16S ribosomal RNA". It matches the Rfam family "Bacterial small subunit ribosomal RNA", at positions 336 to 619 of the family's 1533-position model. The record is from RNAcentral.